UACAGAGGGUGCGAGCGUUGUUCGGAAUUAUUGGGCGUAAAGGGCGCGUAGGCGGCGCGGUCAGUCACCUGUGAAAUCUCCUGGCUUAACUGGGAGCUUGCAGGCGAAACUGCCGUGCUGGAGUGUGGGAGAGGUGCGUGGAAUUCCCGGUGUAGCGGUGAAAUGCGUAGAUAUCAGGAGGAACACCGGUGGCGAAGGCGGUUCUCUGGGCAUGAUCUGACGCUGAGGAGCGAAAGUGUGGGGAGCGAACAGG
Molecule: ribosomal RNA, 253 nt
Filed under: uncultured bacterium
Lineage: Bacteria
Description: partial 16S ribosomal RNA
Rfam family: Bacterial small subunit ribosomal RNA
Source: RNAcentral